CAUUUUGCUCAACUGGUAGAGCAAUCGACUAAGGAUCGAUUCAUGUUGGUUCAAACCCAACAAUGACCA
Molecule: transfer RNA, 69 nt
Filed under: Myxococcales bacterium
Lineage: Bacteria; Pseudomonadati; Myxococcota; Myxococcia; Myxococcales
Description: tRNA-Leu
Rfam family: tRNA
About the family: Transfer RNA (tRNA) molecules are approximately 80 nucleotides in length. Their secondary structure includes four short double-helical elements and three loops (D, anti-codon, and T loops). Further hydrogen bonds mediate the characteristic L-shaped molecular structure. tRNAs have two regions of fundamental functional importance: the anti-codon, which is responsible for specific mRNA codon recognition, and the 3' end, to which the tRNAs corresponding amino acid is attached (by aminoacyl-tRNA synthetases). tRNAs cope with the degeneracy of the genetic code in two manners: having more than one tRNA (with a specific anti-codon) for a particular amino acid; and 'wobble' base-pairing, i.e. permitting non-standard base-pairing at the 3rd anti-codon position.
Source: RNAcentral